GGUGGUUAAGAAAGUUGGUGGUGAAAUCCCAAGGCUUAACCUUGGAACUGCCACCAAAACUUUUUAACUAGAGUAUGAUUGAGGUAAGCGGAAUUUCUAGUGUAGAGGUGAAAUUCGUAGAUAUUAGAAAGAACACCAAUUGCGAAGGCAGCUUUCUGGAUCAUUACUGACACUGAGGUGCGAAAGCAUGGGUAGCGAAGAGGAUUAGAUACCCUCGUAGUCCAUGCCGUAAACGAUGUGUGCUGGACGUUGGGAAUUUAUUUUUCAGUGUCGCAGCAAAAGCGUUAAGCACACCGCCUGGGGAGUACGACCGCAAGGUUAAAACUCAAAUGAAUUGACGGGGACCCGCACAAGUAGUGGAGCAUGUGGUUUAAUUCGAAGAUACGCGCAGAACCUUACCAACACUUGACAUGUUCGUCGCGACUCUAAGAGAUUAGAGUUUUCGGUUCGGCCGGACGAAACACAGGUGCUGCAUGGCUGUCGUCAGCUCGUGUCGUGAGAUGUUGGGUUAAGUCCCGCAACGAGCGCAACCCUUACUUUUAGUUGCUACCAUUCAGUUGGGCACUCUAAAAGAACUGCCAGUGAUAAGCUGGAGGAAGGUGGGGAUGACGUCAAGUCCUCAUGGCCCUUAUGUGUUGGGCUACACACGUGCUACAAUGGUAUUUACAGUGGGAUGCUAAGAGGCAACUCCAAGCCAACCCUCAAAAAAUACCUCAGUUCGGAUUGUACUCUGCAACUCGAGUACAUGAAGCUGGAAUUACUAGUAAUCGCGAAUCAGCGUGUCGCGGUGAAUACG
This 796-nucleotide ribosomal RNA is filed under the name uncultured bacterium. RNAcentral's name for it is "bacterial SSU rRNA". It matches the Rfam family "Bacterial small subunit ribosomal RNA", at positions 574 to 1370 of the family's 1533-position model. The record is from RNAcentral.